Cherax quadricarinatus is the source of this 798-nucleotide non-coding RNA. The record is from RefSeq and is a predicted model, not a curated record. Lineage: Eukaryota; Metazoa; Arthropoda; Malacostraca; Decapoda; Parastacidae.
UGUCGGCCAUCCAGGCGAGUGUACGUUAACACUGUGGUCGUGGACGGUGCUGUGGCAACACCAGUGUCUACACUCUCCUCAACACUCCAUUAACACCUCUGCAACGCGGUGUAUAUAAAUCUAGUUAUCUAGAUUGUGUGCGUGACGACCCAGUGGUAGUAGCUGGUUAUCACCUGCAAGAAGCAUACCCAGAGGAGAUCGUCCCCUUUGGUCAAUUGAUCUCGCUGCCCAGUGAACAGAGGGAAGCAGCCUAAACCCCCUCACAAGUGGUCCAUUUAGCUCUACAAUUAAUCUUGUAUAGAUUCCUGCAGUUUAUCAACUAUAUUUCUGCAAGUGAUCCACUCAGUCCUAAAACCGAAAGUCACCUGAAGUGCAUGAAAGUGAUUUCAUCAGGAAGAUCAGACGUCUUGUGUUACCCCUGGCAUCGGCAUUAUGGAAGGGCUGGAUCAUAUUGGGGACGUUAAAGGCGUCACGCAAUGGCUGGGGAAUGGGAAGGUAGCUCCAGUUCCUUGGAUCAAGAUUCCUUCACCAGUAUCAAGGCAAAACUUGAAGGAAGUUAUCAUUGAGAUGUACAUACUGGUUUAAGGGACCAGCGAUACCUUGCUUCGUCAAACGGCAACCAAAUUAAUGUAUAUCUAGUUAGUGUACAUGCUUAGUUUUGUACAGUAUAGCAUGAUUGACUAUUAAUCCCUCUGACACUGCAACAGUGAUGAACAUAGCAUGAGCAUAACCUCUUUUCAUUCUUAUUGGUUAAUGCAAAGCAGGCCAAGAUUCUUGUCACUAUCUUUUUACCUAUUU